RNAcentral lists this ribosomal RNA (253 nucleotides) under uncultured bacterium. RNAcentral's name for it is "partial 16S ribosomal RNA". It matches the Rfam family "Bacterial small subunit ribosomal RNA", at positions 524 to 776 of the family's 1533-position model. The record is from RNAcentral.
UACAGAGGUCUCAAGCGUUGUUCGGAUUCAUUGGGCGUAAAGGGUGCGUAGGCGGCGCGACAAGUCAGGCGUGAAAGCCCCGGGCUCAACCCGGGAAUUGCGCUUGAUACUGUCGUGCUUGAGGCCGGGAGAGGAUGGCGGAAUUCCCAGUGUAGAGGUGAAAUGCGUAGAUAUACGGAGGAACACCAGCGGCGAAGGCGGGUAGCUGGGCCAACACUGACGCUGAUGCGCGAAAGCCAGGGUAGCAAACGGG